RNAcentral lists this ribosomal RNA (621 nucleotides) under Photobacterium sp. 13La. RNAcentral's name for it is "bacterial SSU rRNA". It matches the Rfam family "Bacterial small subunit ribosomal RNA", at positions 97 to 714 of the family's 1533-position model. Lineage: Bacteria; Pseudomonadati; Pseudomonadota; Gammaproteobacteria; Vibrionales; Vibrionaceae. The record is from RNAcentral.
GGCGGACGGGUGAGUAAUGCCUGGGAAUAUGCCUUAGUGUGGGGGAUAACUAUUGGAAACGAUAGCUAAUACCGCAUAACGUCUUCGGACCAAAGAGGGGGACCUUCGGGCCUCUCGCGCUAAGAUUAGCCCAGGUGGGAUUAGCUAGUUGGUGGGGUAAAGGCCCACCAAGGCAACGAUCCCUAGCUGGUCUGAGAGGAUGAUCAGCCACACUGGAACUGAGACACGGUCCAGACUCCUACGGGAGGCAGCAGUGGGGAAUAUUGCACAAUGGGGGAAACCCUGAUGCAGCCAUGCCGCGUGUAUGAAGAAGGCCUUCGGGUUGUAAAGUACUUUCAGUCGUGAGGAAGGGUGCGUAGUUAAUAGCUGCAUGGCUUGACGUUAGCGACAGAAGAAGCACCGGCUAACUCCGUGCCAGCAGCCGCGGUAAUACGGAGGGUGCGAGCGUUAAUCGGAAUUACUGGGCGUAAAGCGCAUGCAGGCGGUCUGUUAAGCAAGAUGUGAAAGCCCGGGGCUCAACCUCGGAACCGCAUUUUGAACUGGCAGACUAGAGUCUUGUAGAGGGGGGUAGAAUUUCAGGUGUAGCGGUGAAAUGCGUAGAGAUCUGAAGGAAUACCGGUG